CUGUAAAAAUUUAACAAGGCAAACUCNGAUCNAUUAAGUUUUGAAUCAUGGCCUCAAGGUUGAAACGCCUGGGCGGGCGNUGCCUUUUUUACAUGNGAAUUCGAAGCGGGGCGGGAUUUAUGCCUGNUUCAUCUUUCCGAACGGGUGUAGUAACGCGUGGGUGACCUACCCGGGAGAGGCGGACAACCAGGGGAAACUCAAGCUGAUCCGCCAUGUGGUCCUGUUCUGNGNGGCGGGACCAAAGGGUGGAUAGCCCGCUUCCGGAUGGGCCCGCGUCCCAUCANCUGGUUGGUGGGGUAAAGGCCCACCAAGGCGACGACNGGUAGCCGGUCUGAAAGGAUGGCCGGCCACAUGGGCACUGAUAACGGGCCCCACUCCUACGGGAGGCAGCAGUUANGAAUUUUCCGCAAUGGACGGAGGUCUGACUUUACGACGCCGCUUGGAAGGAGGAAGCCCUUCCGGGGUGUAAACUCUUGAAAUGGGGGCGAAAAGCCCUGGUGUUGGGGGAUGAACGGUUCCCAGGUAAUAUCCGCCGGCCCAACUCCAAGNCAUCNACCCGCGGUAANAAAUGAGGGCGCNAGCGCUUNCCGAAUUUUACUGCGCCGAAAAAGGGGUGUANGCCGUCUGGGGGCUUCCCUNGUUAAGGCCCC
Molecule: ribosomal RNA, 650 nt
Filed under: uncultured bacterium
Lineage: Bacteria
Description: partial 16S ribosomal RNA
Rfam family: Bacterial small subunit ribosomal RNA
Source: RNAcentral